Molecule: ribosomal RNA, 200 nt
Filed under: uncultured bacterium
Lineage: Bacteria
Description: partial 16S ribosomal RNA
Rfam family: Bacterial small subunit ribosomal RNA
Source: RNAcentral
AGAGUUUGAUCCUGGCUCAGGACGAACGCUGGCGGCGUGCCUAACACAUGCAAGUCGAGCGGAGAUAUAUUGAAGAGUAAUCUGAUAUGUAUCUUAGCGGCGGACGGGUGAGUAACGCGUGGGCAACCUGCCUCAAACAGGGGGAUAACACAGGGAAACUUGUGCUAAUACCGCAUAAAAUCAUAGGAGGACAUCCUCUA